This 456-nucleotide ribosomal RNA is filed under the name uncultured bacterium. Its description in RNAcentral is "partial 16S ribosomal RNA". It matches the Rfam family "Bacterial small subunit ribosomal RNA", at positions 28 to 523 of the family's 1533-position model. The record is from RNAcentral.
GAUGAACGCUGGCGGCGUGCCUAAUACAUGCAAGUCGUACGGAAAGGCCCUUCGGGGUACUCGAGUGGCGGACGGCUGAGUAACGCGUGGGAACGUGCCCCAAAGUGAGGGAUAACGCACCGAAGGUGUGCUAAUACCGCAUAUGGUCUUCGGAUUAAAGCUUCGGCGCUUUGGGAGCGGCCCGCGUACGAUUAGAUAGUUGGUGAGGUAAUGGCUCACCAAGUCGACGAUCGUUAGCUGGUCUGAGAGGAUGAUCAGCCAGACUGGGACUGAGACACGGCCCAGACUCCUACGGGAGGCAGCAGUAAGGAAUCUUCCACAAUGGGGGCAACCCUGAUGGAGCAACGCCGCGUGCAGGAUGAAGGUUUUCGGAUCGUAAACUGCUUUUAUAAGUGAAGAAUAUGACGGUAACUUAUGAAUAAGGAUCGGCUAACUACGUGCCAGCCGCCGCCGUAA